UCAGUUUUGUUGCAGGCUGCUGAACCACUUGCUUGAUUUUCUGCAGUCCCAACAUGAACACUUUGUUAGAUCAGUGAGGUGAAAAGCAUCCAGAGAGGCAUAUGAGAAUGAAUGGGGCGAAGCUACACUUAGGUGAGAGGGUUCGAACGUCAGAGGCGGAUCUAGGAUUUCAAGGUUGCGGGUGUCAUGUCAUUUUUAACGUUAAAGCUACUACUCAAAAAGGAUAAUUUUUAUGGGCGUCCCACUGGAAUUUGACUUGUUAGUAAGAGAUUUUUGAAGGAAAAUUUCAUUGAAACAUUAUCGAAGAACCUAAUUUUUAUGAAUUCAAUUGGAAAUCAGUUAAUUUUUUGCUU
Capsicum annuum is the source of this 353-nucleotide long non-coding RNA. RefSeq lists it as uncharacterized. The record is from RefSeq and is a predicted model, not a curated record. Lineage: Eukaryota; Viridiplantae; Streptophyta; Magnoliopsida; Solanales; Solanaceae. The transcript has 2 exons.